AGUGAACGCUGGCGGUAGGCCUAACACAUGCAAGUCGAACGGCAGCACAGUAAGAGCUUGCUCUUACGGGUGGCGAGUGGCGGACGGGUGAGGAAUACAUCGGAAUCUACUUUUUCGUGGGGGAUAACGUAGGGAAACUUACGCUAAUACCGCAUACGACCUACGGGUGAAAGCAGGGGAUCUUCGGACCUUGCGCGAUUGAAUGAGCCGAUGUCGGAUUAGCUAGUUGGCGGGGUAAAGGCCCACCACGGCGACGAUCCGUAGCUGGUCUGAGAGGAUGAUCAGACACACGGGAAGUGAGACACGGUCCAGACUCCUACGGGAGGCAGCAGUGGGGAAUAUUGGGCAAUGGGCGCAAGCCUGAUCCAGCAAUACCGCGUGGGUGAAGAAGGCCUUCGGGUUGUAAAGCCCUUUUGUUGGGAGAGAAAAGCAGCAGGUUAAUACCCCGCUGUUCUGACGGUACCCAAAGAAUAAGCACCGGCUAACUUCGUG
Molecule: ribosomal RNA, 492 nt
Filed under: uncultured bacterium
Lineage: Bacteria
Description: partial 16S ribosomal RNA
Rfam family: Bacterial small subunit ribosomal RNA
Source: RNAcentral